Molecule: ribosomal RNA, 505 nt
Filed under: uncultured bacterium
Lineage: Bacteria
Description: partial 16S ribosomal RNA
Rfam family: Bacterial small subunit ribosomal RNA
Source: RNAcentral
GACGAACGCUGGCGGCGUGCCUAAUACAUGCAAGUAGAACGCACAGUUUAUACCGUAGCUUGCUACACCAUAGACUGUGAGUUGCGAACGGGUGAGUAACGCGUAGGUAACCUGCCUGGUAGCGGGGGAUAACUAUUGGAAACGAUAGCUAAUACCGCAUAAUAUUGAUUAUUGCAUGAUAAUUGAUUGAAAGAUGCUAUUGCAUCACUACCAGAUGGACCUGCGUUGUAUUAGCUAGUAGGUGAGGUAACGGCUCACCUAGGCGACGAUACAUAGCCGACCUGAGAGGGUGAUCGGCCACACUGGGACUGAGACACGGCCCAGACGCCUACGGGAGGCAGCAGUAGGGAAUCUUCGGCAAUGGACGAAAGUCUGACCGAGCAACGCCGCGUGAGUGAAGAAGGUUUUCGGAUCGUAAAGCUCUGUUGUAUGAGAAGAACGGGUGUGAGAGUGGAAAGUUCACACUGUGACGGUAUCUUACCAGAAAGGGACGGCUAACUACGUG